CUCUCAUUUUAAUAAAGCUUUAAGGGGAUUUUUGAUUUGGGAUUUUUACUUCCCCUGGACCUGGAGGAAGAGAAAGGAAGGUCAAUGAGAGCGUGAUGACGGUGCAGAGGCACCUAGGCAAAGCUCUGUGGCCUUUGGGAAAAGACACUACUUGGCUCAGGGCAUUAAAUACAUGUGUGACCUUAAUUCUUCUGUCAAAACAACAACAACAAAAUCCCCAAACUAUGAAAAGCCACAGACUUCUAGGAAUAGAAGACAAAAGGAGGAAGGAGGAGGAGGAGGAAGAUACCAAGGGGAAAAUGAUGUGAAAAGCUGAUUUUGUAGCCCUGAGCAUAUAGGAAAAGCCUCCAUGGUGAUGACUUCUUUGAAUAAAUGUUGCUUAAAGAAAAAGAAGGCACCAGAAAGAGCAGAAAACAACUGGGUGAAUGAAAGAAGAAUGUCAUGCAGAGGAGAGGACCCUGUGGCUGCUGAAUUGAGAAUGGUGUGAGAAAGUAAAGACUGAAGCAGAAAAACAGUUUGGAGGCUACUGCAACAAUCCAGGCAAGAAGUGAUGGUGGCUUCAUCAUGGAGGAAGGGAGCCACUCAGGUUCUGGAUAGCCUGGGAGGUUGAGCAAGCCAUGAAAUGGGAGAGAAAAAGAGGAAUCAAGCCUGAUUCCGAGACUGCUGGCAGGAGCGCCUGGAAGGAUGAUGGUUACCUUCUCUAUGGAGGGGAAGGUAUGGGAGAAGACAGCAUGGUGUGUGAAGAAGUCCAGAAGUUUGGUUUUGGACAUAUUAAGUUUCAGUUGCUUAGUAGAUAUAUCUUUCUUAUUUAUGUUGAAUUCUCCAUCCAACUUAGAGGGUAGACAGGGUUUCUUUUUCAGUAUUACAAUCUAACAGGAACUGAGAACUUACAGAACAGACCAGUAGGAACUGAAACAGUAGAAGGGUUGGGGAAGAGGGUUUUGAGUGUUUUUGUUUAAAUAUAAGGAGACAAAUUUACAUCCCACAAUCCGUUUUCCUUCAGCAACUAGUAGUACUUUUCUCGCAGUCUUUAACAGCUAGCCAGGGCCACUAGCUCUCAGUGUUGUACUCCCUUGGACUAGGUAAUUCUGAAGGAAAGAUCAGAAUAAUGAGAAGUAUGUGGGUCCUAUUGGGAAAGGCAGCCCACCAUGGACCCUGAAGGUCCCUGCCUGUUCUUGCUGAGUGUGCUGGAUUUUUUUUUUUUUUUUUUUUUGAGACGGAGUCUCACUCACUCUGUCGCUCAGGCUGGAGUGCAGUGGCGUGAUCUCAACUCACUGCAACCUCCGUUUUCUGGGUUCAAGCUAUUCUCUUGCCUCAGCCUCCCGAGUAGCUGGGAUUACAGGCAUCCACCACCACGCCUGACUAAUUUUUGUAUUUUUAGUGGAGACAUGUUGGCCAGGCUAGUUUUGAAACCCUGACCUCAGGUGAUCCGCCCUCGUUGGCCUCCCAAAGUGCUGGCAUUACAGGUGUGAGCCACUGCGUCCAGCCGAGUGUACUGGAUUUUAAGACUGAUCUGUCUCCUGAUACUGAAUGGUUUCUCUGGUUAGUCACACAGGCAAUUAAGCAGGUCAAAGUGGAGAAAGACUGGCUUAUUUGCUGCUUGCUCAAGGGCUGGGCCCUUAGCCCUGGGUUCCUCUCCUGUAAUGCAACCCACUGCAUGCGCAGGUAUCAUCUAGGACUAUCAUGUCAUCCCUGUGUUGUGUAUGGGGAAGGGAACUAGUGCAAAUAUGCUCAUGUUGUUUGCUGUGCUGUGCUGUUAGUAAUAAAAUCCUUUGUCUCUGA
Homo sapiens (human) is the source of this 1782-nucleotide long non-coding RNA. RefSeq lists it as uncharacterized. The record is from RefSeq and is a predicted model, not a curated record. The transcript is spliced from 2 exons. Lineage: Eukaryota; Metazoa; Chordata; Mammalia; Primates; Hominidae.